AGUUCUCACCCCAGCAUGAUGCCCAAGAUAUAGCUGAACUUGUUUAUUUAUUCUUCCUGUGUCACAAAUUACCCCUUAACAAAUACUUUUGAGUCUCUGAAAGUCCAAAUGUCAGUGUGAUUUUUUUUUUCUCUCCCCUUAAAAAACAGAUGAGAGGAUCAAGAUAUCUACUCUGAUGUCUUGAACUCACCUUAAAGGCAUGUAGUGUUCAUUCUGUGGUCAUGAUCACGCAGACCAAUCUCAACAGAGUUCGAGGAAAGUUGGCGAGGGUGUGGCAGCCAGAACUUAACUAUUGGUGUCCUUGGAUGACCUGAAACUCACAUGGACUGGCCUGGCUUUGGACUUCCAGAGUGCUGGGAUUAUAGGGUCCCCAUCAUGCUCUACGUGGUGGCUCUCUUUUGUUAUGCUCUCCUGCUUCAGGUCCCGUCAUGGGCGCCUCUGCUCAUGAGCCUGUAGCUCUCCCUAAUAAAGCUCUAUGAAGGGUG
This 485-nucleotide long non-coding RNA is filed under the name Mus pahari (shrew mouse). Its description in RNAcentral is "lncRNA (MGP_PahariEiJ_G0005380.1)". Lineage: Eukaryota; Metazoa; Chordata; Mammalia; Rodentia; Muridae. The record is from RNAcentral.